UGGCUGCCGCGGUGGAAGGUGAGGAAGAUCUCACUGAGCACCCUCCCCACGAUCUUGCUGCGCUGGAGGAGGAGGUCCAUGGCGAGCUUGCGCCCCGACAGUAGGCCCCACCGCAGCAUGUCCAGCAUGUCGCUUACCACCCGCCACAGCUGCCAUGCCACGCCUGGUUCUGCCACCGCCACCAUGCCCUGCUGCUGCAGCUACUGCUGCUUCCUGGUAGCCAUUCCUUGCUUCUGCUCUUCUCUCCCUCCGUCUCUCUGCUCCGACUUCAUCAGCAAGUACUUGAAGCUGAGCCCUUGAUUUGAUCCACGGCAAGCAUUGGUAAGCACUAGAAACAUCCGCUCGAUUUGAUUUGAUUCAAUUCACAAGAAGCUGAGAAGACGAUCACCAACAAUGCCUUCGUCAGUCCUUGAGAACAUGACUCCAGCACAACAAGGGGAGGAUACUAGGAAUCGGCCAAUCCAAUCACCUAUUCGCGACUCAGCCAAUCGGAACCAAGCACAUGGCAUGGUCAUAUCAUCAAGAAAAUAUCCAUUUGGUAGUGAGAAAAGAAGACGAGAAUGUGUUUAUAGAGCACAGUGAGGAGCCAAAUACAUAUCAGUUCACAAUCAAAGGAAGUUAUUUGGGGACAAACCAGCUUUUGGCCAUUCAAUUACCAUCUGUGAGACAGCGAGAGCAUCAAUGCGGUAGACGAAAACCUUUGAGAUAUUAGGCACACUGGUUGACUGUGUCUCAUUGGCAUCAUCUGGGGGAGGCCAUUUCCUUGGUCAGUGCCAACUCUGGUAUCAUGCUUAUUUAUUCUUUAGCAUUGUUAUGUUUGAGGGUAAUUAUGAAGAUGAAGAAAACCCUCAUGAUCUAAGUAUUGAAUCAAAAUAAUUUCUACCAUAUAAGGUUGCCAUGUAUAUUUUCAACCAGCUGGGCAUAUGAGGUCUUGCUAUGUGUUCCUUCUUCAUCACAAUUCACAGGUAUUACUUUAGAAAAUAGUUGCAUGAACAAUGCUGGCUGUUUUGUUCCUCUAUUAAUUUGUGGAGUUAGUUUGGUGCAUCUCAUAGUUCGUUGAAAUGCAUCCGUGAAAAUUCUAUCUUUAUGUGUGUACAAUGCAAUUUGAUUAAUAUCUGUGAUUGCAUUAUUGUGUCUCAUUUUGUGCUCAUGCCCAAUGCACUUCCUGUUAGGGCAUUGUUAACACCUUUAGACUGUACUGUUUAGGCUCGGCUAUAAAUUAAAUUAUCCUUGUAAUGAUAAAUUGAAUAUAUUUUCCUUCAGAAGAAAUUGAGGGCUGCCAAUGUGCCACGAUCGGUGUGGAUCUACAUAAGGUAUCCUGACAUCUGAUUUUCUAGCUGAUCAAUUUAAUCCACUCAAAAUCCUGUGGUUCUCCUUGUUGAUCCAAUUUUCUGGCGUGCAUACGAUCCAAAGUUCUCUGGUUAAACUUUCUGGCUCAUCCAAAUGAGAUGCUAUGCAUUCUUUCAAAAUAUUCAGAUUAAAACUUUUUAGUGUAUUUGAAUUAGCAUAUGGUCAUGUUUAAUCUAUCAGAGUUGACUUCGUUUUGUAAAUGAAGCUAAAGGGUAGAGCAAUCCAUGUUGAAAGUAGUGUGCAUGAAAGUGUUCCGUCAGAAGACUUGUAGCGUCCAAUAGAAAUGAAUUCUGAUGUUUUGAUUCAAAUGUAUUUUAUCGAAGUCUUUUGUAUGGUUCGGCAAUAUCUUCUGGAUAUAUUCUAACAAGAUUUGGUCAAAAAGGACUACCUGGUAAUUCAUUUGCAAUAAUAAGAAAGUGAAGAAAUUUGGUCCAAUCAGUAAGAACCAGUACAGAAUAAUUAAUUAUAUGUGCAGGGAGGUGUAACUACAAGAAUACCUAUUUGUAAUUGAACCAUGUGGGUGCUGGAUCCAACACCAUAGGAACACAGUGAUGUCCUUGCGUGCUCUUCUCAACACACCAAUAUGAUAUCAAAGAUAUGGAAAUGUAGGUAGUUAGCUAUAUGAAUGUAAGGUUCUCAAUUUUGUAAUCUGAUUUGCAGUGAUAGGAUCAUUUUGUGGAGUUUGUGAAGAAUUUGGGAAUAUUUGAUUAAAUGUUCAACUAAUAGCUGAACAACCUGUAAUGUUACGGUAUUGGUUAUACAUUAGUGCACUUGCA
Molecule: long non-coding RNA, 2126 nt
Organism: Setaria italica (foxtail millet)
Lineage: Eukaryota; Viridiplantae; Streptophyta; Magnoliopsida; Poales; Poaceae
Exons: 6
Source: RefSeq, a predicted model, not a curated record